UCAGCCCAAAAUCAAAACCAGAAUCUAAAAAAAUCCCCAAACAACAACGACCUCCUCAAAUCACAAGCCCACCAGGCAACGAAAAAGCCUCAAAGCGGAGGGCACUCGGGAGGGGGCCGGUGCGGUGCGGCGUCACUGCCCGGCCUGAUCUCUCGUGCACCUUUGGGCUACACCGCGCUCUGCCACCACCGGCUGAGGCACCACGCACGCCUGCGCUGGCCGGGACCCCCCGGUGACCCCGGCGCGACUGCGCCCGGCCCGGCCGGCAGGUGCGCGGCGACAGCCGGCUUCGAGGCCCACCGUUGUUUGUGGCAUGUAAUUCAAAGAAAAGGACAAUAAUGGAUAUUACAAAAAACUAACAGUUAUUCCCUUCACUUCUACAAUGUCCAGACAAACCUUACUGAUGAAAAUCGGCACUUCUUAUUAAAAUUAGGGAUUUUAAAGGUUAAGUUAUUGAAGAUUGUUGAAAUACAAGGAAAUCGAGAGACAGCUUACCAGGGUAAGGCAUUAGAAAGCACUUAAAG
RNAcentral lists this long non-coding RNA (524 nucleotides) under Ficedula albicollis (Collared flycatcher). Its description in RNAcentral is "lncRNA (ENSFALG00000023245.1)". Lineage: Eukaryota; Metazoa; Chordata; Aves; Passeriformes; Muscicapidae. The record is from RNAcentral.